CAUACCAGAAACACCAUUUUAUAUAAUAUGCCAAAUAUACAUUUUUAUAAAAUCCCCAAAGUACGCUUGCUGACAUACAAGUUAAUAUCACACUGAAAGAAUUUUGAUCAAUCAUGCUUCCCUGCUGUGAUUGUUUAACUGGGAAAACAACUUUUUCCACAGGAAGGCAAGUCAAUUUAAGGAAUACAUGUUCAAAGUUUUCCUCUGUUAUGUAUAAUGAUGACCCCCAUCAAACAUAAUGUUAGCAAUCUUUACACCUUUUAAUUUAUUCUGAUUAUUUCUGUCUACAUGUGUGAAUUUGCCUUCAUUAGUUUCAGAAAAGAGCGAUGAUGUAACGGUCACGGGACGGCAGCACGAGACUCCGCAAACUAGUCUGUAAGCAAAGUAGAUGAAGGCAUCAAGGUUGCGGCCUGUCAUCAUUGUUAUUUUGCUUAAGGGACUGAAUAUGUAUCGUGUAGAAAUAUUAGCAUUUCCCUUAUAUCUACCAAAACUGCUUGUUUCACAGACUGCAGUUUUGUUUUGGUCCGAUGUGGUGUGCAAAUACAACUGUAUCGGCAAUGGGUUGUGGGGCAUUAACAUUUGUAACUCUAAUUUUGUUUUGACAGACUGUGAAAAGAACGUUGAGAACAUCACCAUUCUACAGGAAGACACAGUCCAGUAAUGGGUGUCAGAAGUUCAGUAGUGAACGACAGGAAGGACUGAUGCAUGUACUGAGACGGGUAGUGAGGGCCUACUCUGCGUGCUCAGAGUUCAAGCCCAGCAGGCUGCAGCGGGCCUGACAUAUUCCGGAACAGCAGCUAAGUCUUUGGAUGACUCCUCUGAAGAUGAAAACAUGGCGAGUUCUUCUCAAGAGAAGCAGUACAGGUGUGCCUCAGCUCCAUGGUCCCUCCUGCAGCCUCAGCUCCUGAUGCUAACCUCAUGUCUCCGUCACACCAAGCAGCAGACCUGGAGUGACAGACCUUUCUCCAGAGCUGCCCACUCCCUCUGAAACCCUCCUCUCCAAAACACUAUUUGUGGCGUUUUUAAAGUCUUAUUUCCAUGAGAAUUGUUGAUCAUAACAUUUCCAGCAGAUGCCUUAAUGUAAUGUUUGUGAACAAUAAA
Platichthys flesus (European flounder) is the source of this 1101-nucleotide long non-coding RNA. RefSeq lists it as uncharacterized. NCBI's taxonomy places the organism in Eukaryota, Metazoa, Chordata, Actinopteri, Pleuronectiformes, Pleuronectidae. The record is from RefSeq and is a predicted model, not a curated record. The transcript has 3 exons.